This 253-nucleotide ribosomal RNA is filed under the name uncultured bacterium. RNAcentral's name for it is "partial 16S ribosomal RNA". It matches the Rfam family "Bacterial small subunit ribosomal RNA", at positions 524 to 776 of the family's 1533-position model. The record is from RNAcentral.
AACGUAGGUUCCGAGCGUUAUCCGGAUUUACUGGGCGUAAAGCGCGUUCAGGCGGUUUGGCAAGUCGGGCAUGAAAUCUCUCGGCUCAACCGGGAGAGGUUGUCCGAUACUGCUGGACUUGAGGGCAGUAGAGGGUGGUGGAAUUCCGGGUGUAGUGGUGAAAUGCGUAGAUAUCCGGAGGGACACCAGUAGCGAAAGCGGCCACCUGGACUGCACCUGACGCUGACACGCGAAAGCUAGGGGAGCGAACGGG